This is a long non-coding RNA of Onychomys torridus (southern grasshopper mouse), 360 nucleotides long. RefSeq lists it as uncharacterized. The record is from RefSeq and is a predicted model, not a curated record. NCBI's taxonomy places the organism in Eukaryota, Metazoa, Chordata, Mammalia, Rodentia, Cricetidae. The transcript is spliced from 3 exons.
AUUACAAGUGUGUGACACCACUGCCUGGCUUCCUUUUGAAGCAUCCCAGCAGGUGCUGUUUGUUCUAAUGAAAUGUGGAAGGCAGGAAACAACCAGGUCUAUUUUUAUCUAGCCGUGCUUCAAGAAGACUUUCAGACAAGCCCAACAGCCUGAGAGAAACAGAGACCAGCUGAACUGCCCAGAAUGCCAGGAAGGGGCUCAGGCCGACUGAGACACCAGGAAAGGACACUCUGCAACUUGUUGAGCUGCCAAUAGGCUUUGCAGUGUGCUCCAGGUUUUCUAGCUUUGUGAACUGUAACCCAUGCUGGGGUAGACUUUGGUGAUACAGUUGUCUUUGAGUCGUGACCACUACUGUAAGUA